UCCCGCCUUAGAUCGUCAAUGGGCCCACGAAGGCCCAAAACCCGAUUCUCGUAACAACUGCAAAAAGAGCGCAAAUUGCAGUCUGAGAGGCAUUCGUCAACCUCUCCAUUUCUCCUCCAUUGGAGAUCCCAUCCAGAUCUUUGCAAGUAUACCUGUUCCUCUUCAGAUCCGAAUCAAGAUCACAACUUGUCAAUGGCGAAGCUCGAAUCCCUCGAUGAGCCGAAGGCGAAGGCCAAGAAGAGGAACCACGGCAGCACCAGCUUCUUCGUCUUUGUGGAUUACCUCUUCCUCUUCAUCUUCUUCUGCUUCCUCUGCUUCAUUCUCUACAAGAUGGUCGGCCUCUGAUGGAACCUUUCUCGGCAUCCGCGCUCGUUCCGCCGCCACGGAGGAGAAAUAGGCUUUCAGUAUGAUUUGAAUCUGAAGCUGCUGGGCACUGGGCUUACGGGAUUAUGGAGAGUCAGGGCAUAUAAAUCUUUUGUGUGGUUCUUGUUAUGGAGAAAAGCCACCAGUUUGUCUUGUUGAAAAUUUUGAGAAAGAUCUGUUUUUGAUGUUCUCGAGAAUUUAUUUACUCUUUGCUUCUAUUCAGAAUCACAUUCUUCAUUUCUUUUCUGGGGGUAUUAGUUUUUAUUGUUAGAGCUGAAAAAUGGCAACGCCUUGCUUAUGGACUAGUUGCAGUGAUAAACGUGUGAAACAUGAAGUCAGUUUAAGGUAACUUUUGUGUAUUGGGACUGGGAGAACGGUGAUGAUGUAACAUAGUCAAUCCAAUACUUACCGCUGGUUAAUGUAUAUGCUGGGAGAUUGUCCUUGAUACAUUAAUGAUUGUACUUUCUGCAUCAUGUUUGAAAAAUGAAAUGGAAUCCCAGGGGAGAGAGGAGGUGCUAAGUA
This is a long non-coding RNA of Rhodamnia argentea, 885 nucleotides long. RefSeq lists it as uncharacterized. The transcript is spliced from 2 exons. The record is from RefSeq and is a predicted model, not a curated record. Lineage: Eukaryota; Viridiplantae; Streptophyta; Magnoliopsida; Myrtales; Myrtaceae.